Molecule: ribosomal RNA, 688 nt
Filed under: uncultured bacterium
Lineage: Bacteria
Description: bacterial SSU rRNA
Rfam family: Bacterial small subunit ribosomal RNA
Source: RNAcentral
CAUACAGCUUCAGAAACUGAACAGCUAGAGUACGGGAGAAGUAAGUGGAACUCCAUGUGUAGCGGUGAAAUGCGUAGAUAUAUGGAAGAACACCAGUGGCGAAGGCGACUUACUAGCCCGAGACUGACGCUCAGUCACGAAAGCGUGGGUAGCAAAUAGGAUUAGAUACCCUAGUAGUCCACGCUGUAAACGAUGAAAACUAAGUAUUGCCGCGAGGCAGUGCUGUAGCUAACGCAUUAAGUUUUCCGCCUGGGGAGUACGCUCGCAAGAGUGAAACUUAAAGGAAUUGACGGGGGCCCGCACAAGCAGUGGAGCAUGUGGUUUAAUUCGACGCUACGCGAAGAACCUUACCAGGACUUGACAUGGAAUUUAAAACUUUAGAAAUAGAGCCAUAUACAAGUUCACACAGGUGGUGCAUGGUUGUCGUCAGCUCGUGUCGUGAGAUGUUGGGUUAAGUCCCGCAACGAGCGCAACCCUUGUGAUCAGUUACUAACGCGCAAUGGCGAGGACUCUGAUCAGACCGCCGGGGAUAACUCGGAGGAAGGUGGGGACGACGUCAAAUCAUCAUGCCCCUUAUAACCUGGGCUACACACGUGCUACAAUGGCUACGGACAAAGAGAAGCGAAGCCGCAAGGCGGAGCGAAUCUCAUAAAAGUAGUCUCAGUUCGGAUUGUGGGCUGCAACCCGC